CAUUCUUCACGACAGCCACGGGCGGAAGCAACCCAAGUGUCCUGUGACAGAGGAUGGAUCUGCCUAUACCAUGGACUAUCACCCAGCUUUCAAAAAGGAAAUUCUGACACUUGCUACAACAUGAGGAAUGCUGAGGACAUGAUGUGAUACUGACAGGCCCUGGCUGGCACAUCCACGGGGCCUCCCAGAGUAGGAUACUGGGAAUGCCAGCGAGAUCCUCAGAGCUUUCUCGUUGGGGAAGCCCCUUCCUCGCCUGCACCUUGAGACCAAAAUGUAAAUACUUCUUGCAGCAGGAGUUGUUUUCAAAGGACGUGCGGUAAAGCCCCUGGCAGCAGGGAAGAAACAUGUGGAUCUGCCUGCCUGUGAGAAAGGAACGUCUACCGAGCGCCCACCAGGGACCCAAUUCAAACAUCCCUCCAUCCGUCCAGGCUUCUCGCCUCACUCAACGAGGUGUUUCCCCUUCACCAGCUGAGAAGCCACAUCCCCAACUGAAAACACCCAGCGGAGGGGCUGCAGCUCCCCCGCCCUAGUCCGGGUCUGCCUGUGUCUGUGCGUUGUUAAAAACAACAGGUACUGUUCAAAGAAACCCAGGCAGUUUCUUUCUCUCACUGGUAAGUGAGUGUGGUGAUCAUCAGAUUACUGAGCUAAGCCUUUCACUGCUUCUGUUGACCAAAGAGAGUGCUCCGUCUAGAAGACGAGUGUAUUACGUAAGCUACUUCUACAGUCACAGACAAAGAGAAACCGAGGAAAAAGACCCAGCUGUGCCAGCCUUUCUGAUGUAUUAAAAGUACCCAAUGCACGUCA
Molecule: non-coding RNA, 804 nt
Organism: Sus scrofa (pig)
Lineage: Eukaryota; Metazoa; Chordata; Mammalia; Artiodactyla; Suidae
Source: RefSeq, a predicted model, not a curated record